CUUCUAGAAGAUUGCACUGAAUGGCGCAUUCGUUUCCUGGGGCUGCCGUAACAAAGCACUGCAGACAGGGUGGCUUAGACCCAGAAACAUAUUCUCUCCCAGUCCUGGAGGCCAGAAGUUCAAGAUCAAGGCACUGGUGGGGCCACGCUUGCUCUGAAGACCCCAGGGACUGACGCGUCCCACGGUCCUUUGCUUGUAGCAGCCAGAACUCCAGGCUUCACGGGUCGUUCUUCCCGUAUGCAUGCCUUGGGGUCCAAAUGUCCCCUUUUUAUAAGGACACCCAUCAUCUUGGGAGUAGGGCCGCCCUGACGACUUCCAUCAAGGCCAUAUCUCUUGGAAAAGGUCACGUUCUGCAGUAUUGGGGAUAGGACUCACCACGGUCUUUUGCGGGGGGACAGGGGGCACAAUUCAAUCCAUGCAAAAUAAAAAAGCAGCAGAAUACAUAUAACAAGAGACCAUUUAUGAAAAGUUGAGGGAUACAUAAAUACUUAAAAGUUUAAUGGAGAGAAGAGAAUGACUUCUGCUACAUCUGGAGCAGUGGGCAUCCUGGGGCGCCUUGGGACCUCAGAUACCUUGGGAUGCUCCACGUCUUAAGUUGACUGGCAGGUGCAUAGGUUUGUUUGAAUACUCUUUAUAACAGGAUAUAUAUGUGGUUUUUAUUUGGGAAGUAAUUCAUAAUAAGUGCACAGUUUUAAAUAGAAUCAGAAAGAAAGGACUUGGAGGACAGUGUCGACUACACUUUGGAGGACUUUCGCUAUAGGGGAAUGGGGUGGUGUCUGGGGGACAAUGAGGGUGGUUUCCCCAGCUCACCUGGGAAGAGCUGGGUUCAGAGAGGUGAAGUGGUUCAGCCAGGCUGAUGCAGCUGGCCGGGCUCAGCUGGCAGUGGCACCAAGGUCCCCGAACGCCAGCACCAGGCUUUGUCCUUCCCCCCCUGGUGGCCUGUUUCUUGUGGUCAUCUUUGGGAGCCUUGGGUGCUAGAGGCUGGUCCCUCUACUACCAGAAUUCUGUGAUUCCUGGAGCUUGGAGCUAGAAGAGACCUCACUGCUACCUCUUGAUGUACUCGACCGUCCUCCCCUCUCACUUGCCCUCUUGCUGCGAUAUGAAACCAGUUUCCAGACAUGUGCAUGGUCACGUGUCUAUUAUAUGCCAAAGUGCAUUCAAGGUCCUCACAAGUAAUGAGUUGUGUGAUCCGAACACUGCAGCUGUUACAGAAUGAAUGUCUCACAAGGAGGAAAGGUCCAGCAUAUGGAAUAUACUCAGGGUUUUGUGACAGCGACGUACGGUGACAGGCGGUGGCUACACUCGUGGUGAAUAGAGCAUAACAUAUGGAGUUGUCAGAGGACUAUGCUGUACACCUGAAACAAAUGUACUAUGGUGUGUCGGCUAUAGUUCAAUU
Long non-coding RNA from Mustela erminea (ermine), 1396 nucleotides. RefSeq lists it as uncharacterized. The transcript is spliced from 3 exons. NCBI's taxonomy places the organism in Eukaryota, Metazoa, Chordata, Mammalia, Carnivora, Mustelidae. The record is from RefSeq and is a predicted model, not a curated record.